This is a non-coding RNA of Cyanistes caeruleus (blue tit), 3982 nucleotides long. NCBI's taxonomy places the organism in Eukaryota, Metazoa, Chordata, Aves, Passeriformes, Paridae. The record is from RefSeq and is a predicted model, not a curated record.
CAAACUUAAACAAAAGAAAACUUAACAAAACACUUAACAGAUUCAGUAUAGACAGCAGAAUUACCUGACUGUACCCCAGAAAGUUCAAUUUAUAUCUAUCAUAGUUCACAGCUUCAUCUUCUAUAUCCUUAUCCAGGCACAAUGCUGCUCUCUUUUGCAGUAAAGUGACACAAAAACAGCUGUUAGCAUUACAACCACAUGUGACAAUUUCCAAUUAAUUUCAAAAUUAAAUAAGCUCUUUUCCAGUAAUUCUUUGAUGUUAUCUAAUUUUCUGCCAGCUGGUAAAGUCAGAGAGACAGAAAUCUCAAAGUAAUCUGAAUUUUAUGGUUCUGAACUUUUCUCCCUUACAAGGAGCAAACCGUUUUUUGCUUUGGUCUUUGAGGGAUUAUUAGUACAGAGGAACUAUUAUAACAACAAUGAAGGGAAUGUUUGAUUUUCAUUUCAUCUUGUAAGUCCAUCUCUGGUCUUGAAACUAUGAUCCCUUAUACUGUGGUAUAUACCAAGAACUGAUCAAAAGUUGCUUCAAAAGCUCAUUAACACUUUAACACUAAAAAAAGCACUAGGAAAACACAUUAAACUUUUCAUCAGUCACUCCACCACCAAACUGCCAUUUCCUCACACUGAGGUUACAUGCAGUGGAUUCAUUUUCUCUUCCUCUAGGUCACUCCAUAAUAACUCCCAGUAAAGUCACAGAGAGAGGCUUAAAGGGUUUGUUUUUUUUUAGCUAAAUUCCAGCAGGAAAAAUCAAGGCUAUGUCUGUGCUGUCUGUUACAGAAGGGCCAAGCCUACCUCAAGGCAGAUCUACUAAUUCUCUAUAGCAUGGUUCUACAAGUGUCUGUGAAUGUACACUCCGGGCCACGUGUGAGGGGGUGGCACAGCAUCCAACUUUGUGUGCCAAGGGAGGCAGUCAUGUGGCCUUACAUACCUGUGACUGCUUUAAGACCAACCUUUUAGUGAAGUAUAAGCAGGACCUCAUCUCAGAGCAGCAAUCUCAUCUGUUAAUAGACAACCACAGCUGAGUCUGGGCAGGCUCUGAUCUUUAGAAGAGGCUGGACUCUUCUCAAGGGGUGAGAACAGCUAUUUGUAUUUGCAGUUAUCAGCCUUCAGCAUCAACCUCUUCAGCUGCUUCACAUCCAGACAGGACUGCUUGGAACCACAUGACAAACCUCUGAACACUGCAGCCAAAACAGGUGCAAAAACAUGUAGUCAAGUUGAAAAAACAAGAAAAAAAGAGAGCUGAAAAUUAACAACCCUUUGGAGUUGUUGGGUUAAAUUAUACUGUGCAUAGAAUUUGCAUAGCACUACACAUAAUUUUUCCUCAUCAAAGGUAAUCCUAAUCUAGAAUAACACAAGAGUUAUUUCUUUUCCAGGCAUGCUACAUCUGCUCUGUCAUGUACUUUCUAUGUGCAGGAAUUUCCUCCUCUUCCUCACUGCUGGUCAACUUCAGUAAAUCUAAUUCAACCAAUCCCUCUUCUAGUUCAGCAUCACCUCUUCCAGAGGUGUUAAUGUAAAUCCAUGAUGCUCUGUACAAUCUUUUAUCAUAUCACUGCAUGACAAUUUCAGGUUCUGAUUUGGAAGUUGUUCCUGGCCCUUUUGGGUACAUACAACUGCUUUGAAAUACGGUUUGCAGGCACCUUUAAAGGCCAAAAGCAAAGCAUCAAACAAAAAGAACCUACAGCUUUCUAUUUAAAAACAAAGCCCCAUCAUUUCCAUACACUCUCACUUUUUUUUUUAAUACUUGACUCAUCAUCUUGUAACAGCACUGGCAAUACUACAAAAGUCACUUCCCUGAGGAGCUGCCCAGGCACUUGUAUAUGUGAUGAUAUAUCCCUGUGAUAGAUGCCAGCAGCAGUAAAUAAACUUUCCAGUCUUACACUCAUGCUAAAGAUCUAGCAAUCUACAGGAAAGCUUCCAAAAGAUUCCCCAAGUGCUUGCAGACAUUUUACUGGUACAUAAAGUCUUUUGUAUCUACACACUUAAUCUAAAGCACAAUUAAACUCCAUAGAGAAAAUCCCAUUAAUGUCAGAAACCUUUGGAUCAAGUUCUAGAAUUACCAGUGCUAGCCCAGUUUACAAGGGCUGACCUUCAUACCUGUUUGGCUGCUGAUACUUAUGUCACGAUCAUAUAUUUUUAUUUCAGGCAAGGAGCACAAUGGAAUAAGCCAAGACAAUUUUACUUGGCUUUCUAUUUUUGUUUCAUCAAAGCUUGCCUCUGUACCAGUAAUAUCUAAAUGCAUCUGCAUUUAACAUUUUCAGACCUAUGUUCAGUUCAUUUGGUCAAGUGUCCUCUGCUGUUUUAGGUGCAAACCAGGAAGUGUCUCAUUUAUGCUUUGAAAUUUAUUUGAAUUUAUUGUUUAGUCCUCUUGUUAACUUUGUGCUUAAAUAAAGUACUCUGCAAGCACUGGCUCUGUGCGUGAAGGAAGUUCCUAUUAUCGCAUUCUUCGUGUUACUGUAAACAGAUCCCUCCUCCUUGCACGGCAUCUCAGGCCAGUGGCUGCAUAACAUACUGGAGAAUUACCCUGGGAAACUGAGGACUGAGCCCUCGAGGGCUCAGCAGCGAAGGUCACAGACCCAGCCUCCAGACCUUGACCUUGGCUGACUGUGUGACAGUGCCAACAUACCAGGCAAGAGGAGAGUGGGGGAGAAGGGUCAGCAGACAUUGGAGACAGAUGGCCUAAUUCAUCAUACACCAGAAAUAAAUAAAAAAAAAGCUGUUCCAAGCUUUACACGCACAGCAAUGGUUGUAAAUUCCACAACUGUGGAGACCUGCCAAGCCAUUAUACGCAUACCCAUACUGCAGUCACUGGGUAUAGCUCCUGAAAGGUGAGCUCAGGAGAAACUACAAAGCAUGAAGAGUGCUGAGAUCUCAGGAAAUUGGUUCAUAAAAUUAUCCUCCAAGCCCUAGUGGAAAAACAAUACGCAGAAGUUAGGGACUGAUGUGAUAUUACAGGUUAUUUAUAAACAAUGCAUUAUGUAAUGCAUAAGUUGUCCAUGGAUGGGAUACAAGGUAUUUUAUAUCUAAUAAGUGUCUUUCAAUAAUAUUUUUUUUUUCUAUUUUGCUCUUAAUAGUUUCCCAAUUGGAGCUACUUGAUGGCGUGUCCUGCUAAAUAAAGUUCUCUUGUCACCAAGCAGAGUACCUCAUAGGAACUGGCAAGGCUGGUGAUGCCACUUUGGGAGGAUGGAAUGCAAACCAAACAGAGCUUUUCCCAGACCAUGUAUUUUGGUUUCUCUGUAGAAAGAGCAACAGAGCAUCCUGGAUGCUGCCUUUCAAUUUUUGGCAUCUAGAAAUUCACAGAGUGAAGGAAACAGAGUAAUUUUAAUGUGUUGUUGCACAGGCCGAGUGCUCAAAGUGGUUUUGUGAGCACAGCUUCCCUACAAAGACAGCAGCAGCCAUUGAAUUACUGAAUAUCACAAAGCAAGUGCCAGAAAGCUCGACCAUGGCUUUCAUCCAGCCCUUUAGCUCUUUCUACACAGGCCAACAUCUAUGCUCUACACAACAGAGAGUUAUUAAUACAACCUCCACAAUCAGCCAGUGUAAAAACCCACACAUAGAACCAAGGGCUCCAUUCAGGGGUUCCUUAGGAACACAUGGUAUGGAUAACUCUGCAAAUUCUUAUCACUAAUCUGAAACUGCAACCCACGGAGCAGCCUUUCCUUUUGCUGCCAGGUGACCUUGGAGGGAUCAGACAGGAGAAGGAACUCCUUUCUCUAAAAAAACAAGCCCAAACUGCAUCACUCAGCAACUCAGAGGAAUUGGACAAUGAAGCCUAAGUGUACUGUGCUGAAUAUCACCAGCUAAUUCUGACAAGGGGACAUUUUGCUCACUGAAGACCUGCUCUACAUCCAUGAAGUACCCCAGCCUCCUGAGGAAGAGGGAGGAGGAACUACAAUACAGAAAGCAGAAAUAUUCUCCAGUUUUCCUUCUUACUCCAGCUAUCCACCAAAUUAUUUCUUCAUGAAAACAAAUCCUCCUCUUCCAUUCA